This 620-nucleotide ribosomal RNA is filed under the name uncultured fungus. RNAcentral describes it as "eukaryotic LSU rRNA". The stretch from base 250 to 403 matches the Rfam family "5.8S ribosomal RNA". The record is from RNAcentral. Lineage: Eukaryota; Fungi.
CUUGGUCAUUUAGAGGAAGUAAAAGUCGUAACAAGGUUUCCGUAGGUGAACCUGCGGAAGGAUCAUUACAUGAAUUACGGGGGUAGGACCCAAUGUACGCGUACUCCGUGUGCCCUGACCUGCCCUGUCUGAUUAUUCUACCCAUGUCUUUUGCGUACUUAUUGUUUCCUCGGCAGGCUUGCCUGCCGCUAGGACAUUAUAAAAACCUUUUGUAAUUGCAGUCAGCGUCAGAAAUAACUUAAUAGUUACAACUUUCAACAACGGAUCUCUUGGUUCUGGCAUCGAUGAAGAACGCAGCGAAAUGCGAUAAGUAGUGUGAAUUGCAGAAUUCAGUGAAUCAUCGAAUCUUUGAACGCACAUUGCGCCCCUUGGUAUUCCAUGGGGCAUGCCUGUUCGAGCGUCAUUUGUACCCUCAAGCUUUGCUUGGUGUUGGGUGUUUGUCUCGUGUUACGCGUAGACUCGCCUUAAAGCGAUUGGCAGCCGGCAUAUUGGCCUUGGAGCGCAGCACAUUUUGCGCUUCUAGUCAUGAAUGUUGGCGUCCAUUAAGCCUAUACAUUCGCUCUUGACCUCGGAUCAGGUAGGGAUACCCGCUGAACUUAAGCAUAUCAAUAAGCGGAGGA